ACUUGAGGCAGAGGUCCAAGUAAACCCCUAGCUUGUGUACCCAUGGAGCCACAGCAGCAGAAAUGAGGAAAGCCGGAAGAUCAGAAGAGCACAAGU
This is a long non-coding RNA of Lynx canadensis (Canada lynx), 96 nucleotides long. RefSeq lists it as uncharacterized. The transcript has 3 exons. Lineage: Eukaryota; Metazoa; Chordata; Mammalia; Carnivora; Felidae. The record is from RefSeq and is a predicted model, not a curated record.